Molecule: small RNA, 611 nt
Filed under: Desulfotomaculum nigrificans CO-1-SRB
Lineage: Bacteria; Bacillati; Bacillota; Clostridia; Eubacteriales; Desulfotomaculaceae
Source: RNAcentral
AAUAACUUAAUAAUAAGUGAUGCAGUAUCCUAGUCAGUAUUAUCUUUCUGAAGGCGGGCCUAAAAAUCCGUCAAGGGCACAUCGAUGAAGUUCCUGGUGCUGGCUUUUGACGCCCAGUUGGGGGCUGGUACUGGGAGUUAAGGGGAAGGGGCGACCUGCAAUGGCAUGUGGGCGUUGACCCCGUCCCCGUGGAGACCCAAGUGCGUGGGGAGUCGGAAACGGCGAACUAUGGCUUGGUUGUUAACCUGCAUGUGGUAGGAAGCUGCGUGCAGUGUAGCCUGACUUGAAGUGGCAGUGGUGAAUUCCCCUGGGGCAAACCUAACGUACGGGCCCGUACGAUGGGAUUUGCGGGAUGAAACCUCGGCUGCAACAGAGUCUAAGAAAGACUAAUACUGUUGAGGAAAACUCCUAGGCUGUCCGGCACCCCGCCGGGGCAGGUCAGGGAUUAAAGUGUGGACUAAGUGGUAAUCUAGCCCUGAGAGCGGUGACGCCUCAGAUACGGUUUAAUGGGAAACCACCGGUUUGGCGACAGCCGGCACCGUUAUGGGAAAACCUGCUGGACCUAAGCCACAACAUUUACCUGGCCUGCUACCACUUAUUAAAGUUUCUAC